This is a long non-coding RNA of Mirounga angustirostris (Northern elephant seal), 4214 nucleotides long. RefSeq lists it as uncharacterized. NCBI's taxonomy places the organism in Eukaryota, Metazoa, Chordata, Mammalia, Carnivora, Phocidae. The record is from RefSeq and is a predicted model, not a curated record. The transcript has 5 exons.
UCAGAAAGUCCAGUAUGGGGAGUGCUGUUUGCAUAGUAUACACCAUCUACUGCUUUGCAUUUUGUUCUUAGAAUUUCUGGAAUUAGUGUUCUUGAGUACUGCCAAACUGCAGCCUCAGUGAAGCUGCUGUGGGGUUUCCCAAACACCAGAUCUUAUAGACUGUAUCUGAAUAUGUUCAACACUAGUGAUAAACAACUAAAGGGUACCUAAUUAUCUGACUGACCCAGAUGGAGUUCCAAUAUCCUUUUGGAGGAAAUAUAGUAUGAUUUCCACCAGUCUAGAUGGAGCCUGCUCUAAAAACCCUCAGUGUGGAUCUGGAUUCUUUCAUAUGCAUCCUUUCUUGAAACAUGCUGACUAGAGUCCCAGAAUGUCUGCAUUCUCCACAAAUCUACAGUCUCCCUAUGGGACUGUGAUAAAGUUACUUACUUUAUGGUAUUAACUUAAGGAGUUAUAGAGUAGCAAAUUUUUUAUUUCUUUGGACAUACAUUUAGCAAUGGCAUACCAGCAACAGAUAGAAAGCCUUGUAGCAAUUUUACCACCAGCAAAAAUGGCUUACAGAGAAAAAAAUAUUGAAGCUCACUUCAAGUUUAAACUUGUGAAAACUCACUGUUCGAACACAGAUAAAGUGUUUUCCAAAUAAAAUGAUCACAUGAGGGAUAUUUUCACCCAUUUUAAUUCUUUGGGAAAUGGAUAAUUUGAGAAUAAAUAGGGAAAGCAAGGGAAUAAUUCUUCAGGCAGACAUGCUAUCCUGUGAACUUGCCCUUGUGAAAAACUGCCCAUGAGCAUAUUUAAGGGUUUAUUGUUCUGUUUUCUGUGUAUAUAAGGUAUGAUCAUACAUCUGGGGAAUGAGUUAUGAAAUGGAAAAUGUCCCCUGGCCUGAGACUACCGACGUAGCUGUUUCGGUGUUGCUUUGGCGUGGUGACAGCAUUCAGAAAUUCUUCUUAGUGCAGCCAGAAUUGAGAGUCUCAAUUUGUCUCAAAAAAGCAAGACAUGCUUUUUAAAAAUUUGCUUAAAUAGGACAUCAGCAAGAUGGUGGAAUAAGAAGUCCCCUGCUCAUGUACCCCCAUAGUGACAAUAAUUUGGCAGCCAUUUAUGGACAAAAGUGCUUCUGUGGGAGCUUUGGGACCCAGGUAGGAAGUUUGGAAGCCAUGGUGGAGCCCACAACAAAGGAAGGUCAUUUAAGAAGCCUGGCCCAUGUCCAGAUGGCUGGCUUAUGAAUCAUGGUUCUGGUUACAGAAUAGCCAUAUCCCCUAGGAAUUUGGCUACAAUCCCACUAGGUCUUGGUCCUGUCAUCAGCACCAUCCACUAAGGGACAUAGGAGAAGCCCUCCUUGCUUAUGCGUUGGGUAACAAGUCUGCCAACCUCAGUCCCAGCUGUGCACCAUGAAGCAGCCCAUGGGCCCCCUCCAGCCCCUGGAUACAUAUCAUAAAGUAAUGUAAAUAGCAAUAUGGAUAACAUAAAAUACGGUGGGGGAGAAUAAAAGUAUAAAGUUUUUGUGUGCAAUCAAAGUUAAGUUGUUAUCAGCUUAAAAUAGAUUGUUAAAGUAUAAAAUGUCUUAUGUAAGCUUCAUGGUAAUCACAAAGAAAAACCUAUGAUAGAUAUGCAAAAGAUAAAGAAAAAGAAAUUAUAGCGAAAAUAAAAUCAAAUCAGAAAGGGAGGUAACAAGAGAAGAAAGGAACAAAGAAACCAUGAAACAGUCAGAAAACAACAAAAUGACAAGGGUAAGUCCUUACCUAUCAAUAAUUACUUCAAAUGUAAAUGGAUUAAAUUCUCCAAUCAAAAGACAUAUAGUUCCUGAAUGAGUAAAAAAUACAAUCAACAAUAUGUUGCCUUCAAGAAACUCUACCUUUAAGGAAGCACAUAAGUGAAAGGUGAAGGGAUAGAAAAACCCUAUUCUAUGCAAGUGAUAAACCAACAAAAGAGAACAGGAGUGGCUAUAUUCAUUUCAGAUGAAAUAGAAUUGUCAAAAUCUGUCACAGAAGACAAAGAAGGUCACUACAGAAUGAUAGAGGUGUCAAUUCAUCAAGAGUAUAUAAUAAUUGUAAAUAUAUAUGCAUCCAACAUUGGAGCACCUAAAUACAUAAAUAAAGCAAAUAUUAACAGGUCUAAGGUAGAGACAGCAAUGCAAUAAUAGUAGGAGACUUCAAUAUUCCACUAAUAACAAUGGAUAAAUCAUUCAGACAGAAAAUUAACAAGGACACACUGGACAUCAGUUACACUUUAAACCAAUGGACCUAACAGACAUGCACAGCAAUCUUAAAAUUUAUAUAAAACCACAAAAGGCAUGGCGUAGUCAAAGCAAUCUUGAGUAAGAACAAAGCUGGAGGCGGGCGCCUGGGUGGCUCAGUUGGUUAAGCGACUGCCUUCGGCUCAGGUCAUGAUCCUGGAGUCCCGGGAUCGAGUCCCGCAUCGGGCUCCCUGCUCGGCGGGGAGUCUGCUUCUCCCUCUGAUCCUUCCCCCCCUCAUGCUAUCUCUCGCUCUCAUUCUCUCUCUCUAAUAAGUAAAUAAAAUCUUAAAAAAAAAAAGGUCUAUGAAAAAGAUUAUAAUCUCACCCUGUUUUUAAAUGAAUUAUUCUUCUAAAUUUAUUGCCCCAAAAUGUCAUUAAAUAUGUGCUUAACUAUUAUCAGAAAAACAAUAUUGCUCAUUUGAAGCAUAAUUUGCAAGGGUACAUUUGAAACCUCUAAAUUAUUCACAGCAUUUAAAAGAUGAAUAUGGGGGCGCCUGGGUGGCUCAGUUGGUUAAGCGACUGCCUUCGGCUCAGGUUAUGAUCCUGGAGUCCCUGGAUCGAGUCCCGCAUCCGGCUCCCUGCUCGGCAGGGAGUCUGCUUCUCCCUCUGACCCUCCCCCCUCUUAUGUGCUCUCUCUCAAAUAAAUAAAUAAAAUUAAAAAAAAAAAACAACAACAAAGCAGUCGUAAUCAAAAUAGCAUGGUAUUGGUGUAAAAACAGACAACCAUUAGAACAGAAUACAGAACCCAGAAAUAAACCCGUGCACAUAUGGUCAAUUAGCUGCGACAAAGAUGCAAAGAAUACACAGGGGAGCAAGGAUAGUCUCUUCAAUAAAUGGUGCUGAGGAAACUGGACAUCCACAUGCCAAAGAAUGAAAUUAGGCCCUUAUCUUACACCAGGCACAAAAAAUCAACUCAAAAUGUGCUAAAGACUUGAAUGUAAAACCUGAAACUGUAAAACUCCAAAAAAAUAUAGAGGCACUCUCUAAGCUUAGCCUUGGCAAUGUUUUUUUGGGUAUGGCCGAAAGGCAUAGGCACCAAAACCAAAAAUAAACAAGUGAGACUACAUAAAGCCAACACGCUUCGGCACAGCAGUCAAUCAAUAAAAUGAGAAGGCAGCCUAUGGAAUGGGAGAAAAUAUUUGUAAACCACCUAUCCAACAACAAUUAGUAUCCAAAAAUAUAUAAGGACCUCAUACAACUCAAGAGCAAAAUCCCCCCAAAUUUUAUCAAAAAUUAGUCAAAGGACUUGAAUAGACAUUUUUCCAAAGAAGGCAUACACAUGGCCAAAAGGCAUAUGAAAAUAUGCUCAGUAUCAUCAGGGAAAUGCAAAUCAAAAACCACAAUGGAUGUCUAACCUCACGCCUCUUAUAGGAUGGCUCUUCUCAAAACCACAAGAGAGAGCUAAUGCUGAUGAGGCUAUGAAGUAAAUGAAACCCUGUGUACUGUUUUGGGGAAUGAAAAUUGGUAUGGCUGCUAUGGAAAAAUAAUAUAGAAGUUCCUCAAAAAAAUAAAAAUAUGGCUAUCGUAUCAUCCAAUAAUCCCACUAUGGGCAUAUAUUCAAAGGAAAUGAAGUAAGUUUCUCAAAUAGGUGGCUGGACUCCUACGUCUGUUGCAGUAUUAUUCACAAUAGACAAGAUAUGGAAACAAUCUAAAUGUCUAUCAGCAGACGGAUGGAUAAAGAAAAUACAGUGUGUGUGUGUGUAUACAUAUAUAUAUUGUGUGUGUGUAUAUAUAUAUAUACAUAUAUAUAGUACAUUUUGAAUAAAAAGAGUUUUGAUAUUUAUGGUGUGUUAGAUUAUAAAAUCUCUCUCCUACUUCCCUCCUUAUUUGUUUGUUCUCCUUUUCUUUUUUUUUCUUUUUUAAAGAUUUUUUAUUUAUUUAUCUGAGAGAGAGAAUGGGAGACAGAGAGCAUGAGAGGGGGAGGAUCAGAGGGAGAAGCAGACUCCCUGCCGAGCAGGGAGCCCGAUGCGGGACUCGAUCCUGGGAC